This 138-nucleotide ribosomal RNA is filed under the name uncultured Helicobacter sp. RNAcentral describes it as "partial 16S ribosomal RNA". It matches the Rfam family "Bacterial small subunit ribosomal RNA", at positions 278 to 415 of the family's 1533-position model. The record is from RNAcentral. Lineage: Bacteria; Pseudomonadati; Campylobacterota; Epsilonproteobacteria; Campylobacterales; Helicobacteraceae.
GACGGGUAUCCGGCCUGAGAGGGUGAACGGACACACUGGAACUGAGACACGGUCCAGACUCCUACGGGAGGCAGCAGUAGGGAAUAUUGCUCAAUGAGGGAAACCCUGAAGCAGCAACGCCGCGUGGAGGAUGAAGGU